RNAcentral lists this long non-coding RNA (315 nucleotides) under Mytilus galloprovincialis (Mediterranean mussel). The record is from RNAcentral. Lineage: Eukaryota; Metazoa; Mollusca; Bivalvia; Mytilida; Mytilidae.
GGAGGGUUGGGAUCCCGCUAACAUGUUUAACCCCGCCACAUUAUUUAUGUAUGUGCCUGUCCCAAGUCAGGAGCCUGUAAUUCAGUGGCUGUCGUUUGUGUAUGUGUUACAUAUUUGUUUUUCGUUCAUUUUUUUUACAUAAAUAAGGCCGUUAGUUUUCUCGUUUGAAUUGUUUUACAUUGUCUUAUAGGGGCCUAUUAUAGCUGACUAUGCGGUAUGGGCUUUGCUCAUUGUUGAAGGCCGUACGGUGAUCUAUAGUUGUUAAUGUCUGCGUCAUUUUGGUCUUUUGUGGAUAGUUGUCUCAUUGGCAAUCAU